CAAUAGCGUAUAUUAAAGUUGUUGCAGUUAAAAAGCUCGUAGUUGGAUUUGUGGCGUACGGUGUGUUCCGGGCACUUGUUGUCUGAGUAACCUGCUGUUGCCAUCCUUGGGUGGAACCUGUGUGGCAUUAGGUUGUCGUGCAGGGGAUGCCCAUCAUUUACUGUGAAAAAAUUAGAGUGUUCAAAGCAGGCUUAUGCCGUUGAAUAUAUUAGCAUGGAAUAAUGAGAUAGGACUUUUUUGCUAUUUUGUUGGUUUGCGCAAAGAGGUAAUGAUUAAUAGGGACAGUUGGGGGUGUUCGUAUUCCAUUGUCAGAGGUGAAAUUCUUGGAUUUUUGGAAGACGAACUACUGCGAAAGCAUUUACCAAGGAUGUUUUCAUUAA
This 380-nucleotide ribosomal RNA is filed under the name uncultured eukaryote. RNAcentral's name for it is "partial 18S ribosomal RNA". It matches the Rfam family "Eukaryotic small subunit ribosomal RNA", at positions 592 to 976 of the family's 1831-position model. The record is from RNAcentral.